Molecule: transfer RNA, 72 nt
Filed under: Myxococcaceae bacterium
Lineage: Bacteria; Pseudomonadati; Myxococcota; Myxococcia; Myxococcales; Myxococcaceae
Also listed under: 2 other names
Description: tRNA-Val
Rfam family: tRNA
About the family: Transfer RNA (tRNA) molecules are approximately 80 nucleotides in length.
Source: RNAcentral
GGGCGGAUAGCUCAGGGGUAGAGCGUCGCCCUUACAAGGCGAGGGUCGCAGGUUCGAAGCCUGCUCCGCCCA